Molecule: ribosomal RNA, 460 nt
Filed under: uncultured bacterium
Lineage: Bacteria
Description: partial 16S ribosomal RNA
Rfam family: Bacterial small subunit ribosomal RNA
Source: RNAcentral
CCUACGGGUGGCAGCAGUGAGGAAUCUUGGUCAAUGGACGAGAGCCUGAUCCAGCAACGCAGCGUGAAGGAUGACUGUCCUAUGGGCUGUAAACCUCUUUUAUAUGGGAGUAAAAUGUUCCACGUGUGGGUUUUUGUAUGUACCAUAUGAAUCCGGAUCGGCUAACUCCGUGCCAGCCGCCGCGGUAAUACGGAGGAUCCGAGCGUGAUCCGGAUUUAUUGGGUUUAAAGGGAACGUAGGUGGAUUGUUAAGUCAGUUGUGAAAGUUUGCGGCUCAACCGUAAUAUUGCAGUUGAAACUGGCAGACUUGAGUACAGUAGAGGUGAGCGGAAUUCGAGGUGUAGCGGUGAAAUGCGUAGAUAUCACGAAGAACACCGAUGGCGAAGGCAGUUCACUGGACUGCAACUGACACUGAGGUUCGAAAGUGUGGGUAGCAAACAGGAUUAGAUACCCGUGUAGUC